Molecule: long non-coding RNA, 426 nt
Filed under: Mytilus galloprovincialis (Mediterranean mussel)
Lineage: Eukaryota; Metazoa; Mollusca; Bivalvia; Mytilida; Mytilidae
Source: RNAcentral
GUCUGCUAUCUGUAUAUUUAUGUUAGCUUUCUUGCUUUUGUUGAUUUUUUUUCUCCAUAAAUACAGCUUAGAUUGACAACUAAUACAAAUAAAUUUUGGAAAAUCACUUGGAUCAUUUUGAAUAUCAAUGUUUAGUGAGAGUUUUAUGUCUCUAGCAUAUUUUGAUUUUUCGUAUGGUAGGUGGUGAGCAGUUCUCUUUUAUGUAGUUCCACAUAAACGACAGUUAUAGUCUGGGUCCAUUAUUUACCAUAUCUGUUGACAAAAAAAGACUAUAUUGGAUUUGUUUUAAAAGGGUUGAAGGGUAGAAAAAGCACAUCAUAAGUUGUGAUUGAAAGUUGUUUGUCUUACGUCCAGUGGCAUGUAUUUCAUUCAUAUUCGGGACUGUACAUAUUGAAAAUUGAGCCGAUUUAAUCAAGAUUUAAAAAA